RNAcentral lists this ribosomal RNA (3105 nucleotides) under Triticum aestivum (bread wheat). Its description in RNAcentral is "partial small subunit ribosomal RNA". The record is from RNAcentral. Lineage: Eukaryota; Viridiplantae; Streptophyta; Magnoliopsida; Poales; Poaceae.
AUGGAGGAGCCCGGGUCCAGCCCCGACGACGCCGUGCUGUUCUUUGGGGUGUCCCUCGUGCUGGGCAUCGGCUCCCGCCACCUCCUCCGCGGCACCCGCGUCCCCUACACCGCCGCCCUCCUCGUCCUCGGCGUCGCCCUCGGAGGCCUUGAGUACGGAACGAAGCAUGGCCUGGGCAAGCUCGGAGCUGGCAUUCGUAUCUGGGCUGCCAUAAAUCCUGAUCUUCUUCUGACUGUUCUCCUUCCCGCCCUUCUCUUCGAGAGCUCCUUCUCCAUGGAAGUGCACCAAAUCAAGAAAUGCAUGGCGCAGAUGGUGUUACUUGCUGUUCCUGGUGUGGUGAUCUCAACAGUUUUGCUUGGAACUGCUGUAAAGCUUACUUUUCCAUAUGAUUGGAACUGGGAAACAUCAUUCCUGUUUAGUGGACUGCUUAGUGCAACCGAUCCCGUUGCUGUGGUUGCACUUCUAAAAGACCUAGGAGCAAGUAAAAAGCUCAGUACAAUAAUUGAAGGAGAAUCCUUGAUGAACGAUGGGACUGCUAUUGUUGUCUAUCAGUUAUUCUAUCGAAUGGUGCUUGGAAGAACUUAUGAUGCAGGGUCCAUAAUAAAGUUCUUGUCAGAAGUUCCAUUUGGAGCUGUUGCUCUGGGCCUUGCGUUUGGAAUUGCAUCAGUACUAUGGCGGAGCUUUAUUUUCAAUGAUACAAUCAUAGAGAUUUCACUUACUCUCGCUGCCAGCUAUAUUGCUUUCUUCACUGCGCAAGAUGCAUUGGAGGUCUCUGGUGUUUUGGCUGUCAUGACCUUGGGGAUGUUGUAUGCUGCUUUUGCACAAACUGCUUUUAAGGGUGACAACCAGCAAAGUUUACAUCAUUUCUGGGAGAUGGUUGCUUACAUUGCGAACACACUUAUUUUCAUACUAAGUGGGGUUAUUAUUGCAGAUGGUGUACUACAAGAUAAUAUCCAUUUUGAGAGGCAAGCCAGUGAUGCAGUUCAACCUUAUCUGAACCCAGAAGUUGGAACAAUGUUUGUGUUCUUCACUGGUGGCAUUAUGUUUCUGACAUUGACUUUAAAUGGUUCUACCACACAACUUUUGUUGCACCUACUUGGUCUCAGAAAAUUCACAGCAACUAAGUUUCGUGUAUUGAAGUAUACAAGAUAUGGGAUGCUAAAUAAGGCAUUGGAGGCUUUUGGUGAUCUCAAGGAUGAUGAGGAACUUGGGACAGUUGAUUGGAUUACUGUUAAGAAAUAUAUCACAUGUUUGAAUAACUUGGAAGAUGUACAAGCACAUCCUCAUGAUGUUCCUGACAAAGAUGAUCACACACAUACCAUGAAUUUGUUGGAUACCCGAGUGCGGCUUUUGAAUGGUGUGCAAGCCGCUUACUUUGGAAUGCUUGAAGAGGGACGAAUAACUCAAUCUACAACAAAUAUUUUGAUGAGAUCUGUUGACGAAGCUAAGGAUCUCGUUUCUAGUCAACCAUUAUGCGACUGGAAGGUGUUGCGGUCCAAUGUACAAUUCUCAAAUUACUAUAGGUUCCUUCAAAUGAGCAGGUUGCCACAAAGGCUUAUCACAUACUUCACAGUAGAAAGAUUGGAGCUAGGAUGUUGCACAUGUGCAGCAUUUCUCAAUGCUCAUAGAACUGCAAGGAGGCAACUACAUGAUUUUCUCGGUGAAAGUGAAAUGGCAAGAAUUGUGAUCGAUGAAAGUACUGCUGCAGGGGAGGAAGCAAAAAAGUUUCUAGAAGAUGUUCGUGUUACAUUCCCUCAGGUGCUUGGUGCAUUAAUGACUCGACAAGUAACAUAUGCGGUAUUGACACACUUGAGCAAGUAUAUUCAAGACCUCAGGAAGACUGGGUUGCUCGAGGAAGAGGAAAUGGUACAUCUCGAUGAUGCUUUGCAGACAGACUUGAAGAAGCUUAAAAGGAAUCCACCGAUGGUUAAAAUGCCAAGAGUUAGCGAACUUUUAAGCUCUCAUCCUUUAGUCGGUGCACUGCCUUCUGCUGUUCGUGGUCUAUUGUUAAGUAAUGCAAGGGAAACAAUAAAAGGACAUGGACAAAUCCUUUACAGGGAAGGCUCAAGGCCGACUGGUAUAUGGCUUGUUUCGGCUGGAAUAGUAAAGUGGACAAGUCAGAGACUAAGCAGAAGGCAUUCAUUAGAUCCAAUUUUGCCACAUGGAAGCACUUUGGGUCUAUACGAGGCAUUGACCGGAAAGCCAUAUAUUUGUGACGUUACUACAGAAUCGGUGGUGCACUGUUUCUUCAUUGAAGCUGAAAAAAUCGAGCAAUUGCGCCAGUCUGAUCCUUCUGCUGAGGAUUUUAUGUGGCAGGAAAGCGCUCUAGUUAUUGCGAUGAUUUUUCUCCCUCAGAUAUUUGAGAAAAUGGCAAUGCGUAAGAUGAGGGUUCUCCUUUCUGAAAGAUCUAGUAUGAACAUCUACAUUAAUGGGGAAGAGUUUGAACUCGGGCAUAAUUACAUAGGCAUCUUACUCGAAGGGUUUCUCAAGACAACACACCAACAUCUGAUCACACCUCCAGCUGUGCUGCUGCCAUCAAGCGCUGAUUUAAACUUAUCUGGCCUGCAGUCUUCAGCCAUGAGCCAUAUAGACUACUACUAUACUGCAACCAGUUAUCAGGUGGAAGCUAGAACAAGGGCCAUCCUAAUUGAAAUAGACAUGCCAGAUAUAGAAUCCGAUCUGCAAACAAGUGCAUCGUUGCUGUCUCCGUCUCCGACCCUUGGACCACCACCAACGCAGAGCAAAGAGCAUAUGGAUGACAUGCACUGUGCUCAGCGACGACUGAGCCUCAAUCGCGCGGAAGCGAACCACAAGCACAUCGCAUCCUAUGCCAAGGCACCUUCAAGGAUGGCAUCCAGCACGCAGCCGCGUCUGCUUGUUGCGAGGUCAGAAGGUUCCAAUGCGACGAUGAACACAACAUCUGCUCUUUAUCCGGCACUUGUGCCCUUUCCGCCCCUAGAAGCAGCCCGACAACGCAGGGUGACAGUGGCGGAAGAUGAUAACUCAAGCGAUGAAUCUGCGGGGGAAGAAGUCAUCGUUAAAGUGGACUCUCCCAGCAUGCUCUCCUUCCAUCGGACCACCAGUGUGCCGCCGCGGGGCGACUGA